Molecule: ribosomal RNA, 253 nt
Filed under: uncultured bacterium
Lineage: Bacteria
Description: partial 16S ribosomal RNA
Rfam family: Bacterial small subunit ribosomal RNA
Source: RNAcentral
UACGGAGGGUGCAAGCAUUAAUCGGAUUUAUUGGGCGUAAAGGGCGCGUAGGCGGGGAUGUAAGUCAGAUGUGAAAUCCCGGGGCUCAACCUCGGAACAGCAUUUGAAACUGCAACUCUAGAGGGUAGGCGGAGAAAAUGGAAUUCCACAAGUAGCGGUGAAAUGCGUAGAUAUGUGGAAGAACACCAGUGGCGAAGGCGAUUUUCUAGCUUAUUCCUGACGCUAAAGCGCGAAAGCAAGGGGAUCAAACAGG